AGGGAUAUGGUGUAAUGGUAGCAUACGGGUCUCCAAAACCCUUGAUGGGAGUUCGAUUCUCUCUAUCCCUG
RNAcentral lists this transfer RNA (71 nucleotides) under Lactobacillus sp. YT155. RNAcentral's name for it is "tRNA-Trp". It matches the Rfam family "tRNA". Rfam says of the family: Transfer RNA (tRNA) molecules are approximately 80 nucleotides in length. Their secondary structure includes four short double-helical elements and three loops (D, anti-codon, and T loops). Lineage: Bacteria; Bacillati; Bacillota; Bacilli; Lactobacillales; Lactobacillaceae. The record is from RNAcentral.